This 427-nucleotide ribosomal RNA is filed under the name uncultured bacterium. RNAcentral describes it as "partial 16S ribosomal RNA". It matches the Rfam family "Bacterial small subunit ribosomal RNA", at positions 355 to 774 of the family's 1533-position model. The record is from RNAcentral.
UGGGGAAUAUUGCACAAUGGGCGCAAGCCUGAUGCAGCCAUGCCGCGUGUAUGAAGAAGGCCUUCGGGUUGUAAAGUACUUUCAGCGGGGAGGAAGGUGUUGUGGUUAAUAACCACAGCAAUUGACGUUACCCGCAGAAGAAGCACCGGCUAACUCCGUGCCAGCAGCCGCGGUAAUACGGAGGGUGCAAGCGUUAAUCGGAAUUACUGGGCGUAAAGCGCACGCAGGCGGUCUGUCAAGUCGGAUGUGAAAUCCCCGGGCUCAACCUGGGAACUGCAUCCGAAACUGGCAGGCUUGAGUCUUGUAGAGGGGGGUAGAAUUCUAGGUGUAGCGGUGAAAUGCGUAGAGAUCUGGAGGAAUACCGGUGGCGAAGGCGGCCCCCUGGACAAAGACUGACGCUCAGGUGCGAAAGCGUGGGGAGCAAACA